Molecule: unclassified non-coding RNA, 238 nt
Filed under: Glomeromycota sp.
Lineage: Eukaryota; Fungi; Glomeromycota
Description: partial contains 5.8S ribosomal RNA and internal transcribed spacer 2
Rfam family: 5.8S ribosomal RNA (bases 1-71)
Source: RNAcentral
GUGAAUCAUCGAAUCUUUGAACGCAUAUUGCACUCCCUGGUAUUCCGGAGAGUAUGCCUGUUCGAGGGUAAUUAAAAAGAACCAGUAACCAAUGUUUUUUGGCCAAAGGAAAUGAGCCCUCCGCGAUUAUAGCGGUAGCGUGAAAUAAAUGGUUAAGUCUCAUGUUAGCCGAGCCGCGUAAUAAUAUCAUUUCGCGAAAUCUUCAUUAUGUGACUAUCAAGUUUUGAUCCAUACAAAU